UGGGCUGUGGCUCAGGGGUGCAGCGCUCGCCUGGCAUGCGUGAGGCACUGGGUUCCAUCCUCAGCACCACAU
This 72-nucleotide transfer RNA is filed under the name Marmota monax (woodchuck). It matches the Rfam family "tRNA". Rfam says of the family: Transfer RNA (tRNA) molecules are approximately 80 nucleotides in length. Their secondary structure includes four short double-helical elements and three loops (D, anti-codon, and T loops). The record is from Rfam by way of RNAcentral. Lineage: Eukaryota; Metazoa; Chordata; Mammalia; Rodentia; Sciuridae.